RNAcentral lists this ribosomal RNA (550 nucleotides) under Trichoderma sp. INBio3081I. Its description in RNAcentral is "eukaryotic LSU rRNA". The stretch from base 173 to 326 matches the Rfam family "5.8S ribosomal RNA". Lineage: Eukaryota; Fungi; Ascomycota; Sordariomycetes; Hypocreales; Hypocreaceae. The record is from RNAcentral.
ACUCCCAACCCAAUGGUGAACGUUACCAAACUGUUGCCUCGGCGGGGUCACGCCCCGGGUGCGUCGCAGCCCCGGAACCAGGCGCCCGCCGGAGGAACCAACCAAACUCUUUCUGUAGUCCCCUCGCGGACGUAUUUCUUACAGCUCUGAGCAAAAAUUCAAAAUGAAUCAAAACUUUCAACAACGGAUCUCUUGGUUCUGGCAUCGAUGAAGAACGCAGCGAAAUGCGAUAAGUAAUGUGAAUUGCAGAAUUCAGUGAAUCAUCGAAUCUUUGAACGCACAUUGCGCCCGCCAGUAUUCUGGCGGGCAUGCCUGUCCGAGCGUCAUUUCAACCCUCGAACCCCUCCGGGGGAUCGGCGUUGGGGAUCGGGACCCCUCACACGGGUGCCGGCCCCGAAAUACAGUGGCGGUCUCGCCGCAGCCUCUCCUGCGCAGUAGUUUGCACAACUCGCACCGGGAGCGCGGCGCGUCCACGUCCGUAAAACACCCAACUUUCUGAAAUGUUGACCUCGGAUCAGGUAGGAAUACCCGCUGAACUUAAGCAUAUCAA